UACUUAUGCUUCCGUACAUCCCACAUCCUCCAUGGAACAAGACGACUCCCCUCCGUUUGCUGGCAGAUGGUGAUCUUGGGAGGUAGAUCCUCACUGGCACCUCACCAAAGUGCAGAUCCUUUAUGAGGAGCUCUGAAGCCCUCCAUGCCCUCAGUCCGUUAGAAAACAUCCUGAUAAGAGCUCCUGGCAUCACAGACACAUCUUCAAUUUUAAGGAAAAGAACUGCCAUAAAGAAGAAUGGGGAAUUUGGCCUGCCUAUGGAAAGCUGCAGUGCAAUGGGGAAGGACUUCUGAGUAGGAGCAUGGAGGAGAUCAUCAGGAACAACUGCUGUGAUGUGACAGACCCUCAUUUUCACCAACCAAGAUGCAGCUAUGUUAGGGGAUACCUGGUUUUGAACAAGCUCUGCAGACUGCAGUUGCAAUGGCUCAACUUCUUCUCCCUAGAAGCCCCUCUCCUGGUCCCGUAUGACAAGGUUGUGACCAUCGUUUGACUUACUUCAUGAAAGGAAAACUGGCAU
Centrocercus urophasianus (Greater sage-grouse) is the source of this 517-nucleotide long non-coding RNA. RefSeq lists it as uncharacterized. The transcript is spliced from 4 exons. The record is from RefSeq and is a predicted model, not a curated record. Lineage: Eukaryota; Metazoa; Chordata; Aves; Galliformes; Phasianidae.